AGGGGCUGGAGGGAGGAAAGGGAUAUGCUUGGUCUUAAUAAACAUUCCUCUUUCUUUAGAUUUUUUUUCUAGCAUACUGGAGAGAAUAGCACAUGUGUUCCCUACCCCACAGACCUCAAUAUGGGACCUCAUAGCAGAGGAAUCUCUGGGUCACUUCAUCAGAUGUGCCCAUCCAAAUUCCUCAAGACUUUCUGGAGUCCAUCUUCUGAACAAGGCAGGGAAAUUGAAGUUCACUCAUCCAAACCGUUAUGACUACACCAAUUGUGGCACAGCUCUUUAUGGGAAGAUAAGGGGUGUAACAACAGCUAAAAACUCUUAAUUCCUCAGGGCUGCACAGGUCUGUGGAAAAUCUGAGCCUUGGGAUUGUGGAAAGAGAAGAAGAAACCUGAACACUCUUCCAUAUCGCCAGCAGAAAAACAACUUUGAUAUAAUUCAAAGGCUUUGCUGUUUUGUUGUCAAUAGAUUAGAAAGGCAGAGUGAUGUUCCCAGUUGUGUCAGGUUAGAUUGCAGUUUAACAUUAAAAUGGGAUUGUCUGUCUAUAAAUCUAUUUGUGGCUAUUUCUGAACUUCCCUUGACAAAAGCAAGGAAAAGUGAUCUAUAAAUCAUUAUGUUACAAAUGUCUUAUGCUUUCCUGGUUGGCUUUAGGAACAGAAAAGGUAUAUUUGUUUCUCUAUUUACCCACACUUAUCCCUCAAAUGAGUUUUGGUUUUAUCUUCGUUAAACAGAAAUGACCUUUCUGUCAGUAGCUAGGCUGAUAAUGUUGUGUAAGCCUGAUGACUGUGCACAGUGGGGACUGUGUUGCAUAUGGGCAGAUCCAUCCUUUCAAAACAUGAAUAGAAACGUAAUUGCACAUUUUUGUGGCACUGUGUAAAACUGAGUAAGUGAACUUACCUUUACCUGCAUUGCUUGUUGCAGCACUGAUUACUAGCUGCUGGUAGGGGGCUCAGGCUUGGGGUUUCAGGGCAGUGAGGCAGGACUGGUGUUUGCCUCCCUUUCCAGCUGUUCUCCCCCACUUCCUCUUAGAUGGGUUCUGCUGUGUUCUCUGUGUCCUUAUUUUUCUCUUUCUGGAACUUUGUAAAUUUGUCCUGAUUUUUACAGUGGUUUUUGAAAGCAAUCUGUAAUGUUAUGGCAUAGUUUUCUGCAACUGCUUACUUUGGAAUGCAGAGCUAUGUAUUUGACAGAACCUAAAGAAACAAGACUGAGUGUAGCUGUGACAAAAUAGAAUAAAAACGAUAUUCAUUUGUUUACA
RNAcentral lists this long non-coding RNA (1249 nucleotides) under Coturnix japonica (Japanese quail). Its description in RNAcentral is "lncRNA (ENSCJPG00005019091.1)". The record is from RNAcentral. Lineage: Eukaryota; Metazoa; Chordata; Aves; Galliformes; Phasianidae.